Limulus polyphemus (Atlantic horseshoe crab) is the source of this 191-nucleotide long non-coding RNA. RefSeq lists it as uncharacterized. The transcript has 3 exons. The record is from RefSeq and is a predicted model, not a curated record. NCBI's taxonomy places the organism in Eukaryota, Metazoa, Arthropoda, Merostomata, Xiphosura, Limulidae.
GCUGUUACUUGAUUUGGUUUUGUUUUUGGACUAAUGGUAUACAUAGAUUGCUAGUCUAGGAAGCCCAUUAGUGUACUUAUAAGAGCUGUUACAUGAUUUGGUUUUGUUUUUGGACUAAUAGUGUCCAUAGGUUGCUAGUUUAAGAAACCCAUUAGUGUAUUCACAAGAGCUGUCACUUGAUUUUGUUUUGU